This 1089-nucleotide ribosomal RNA is filed under the name Enterococcus faecium. RNAcentral describes it as "16S ribosomal RNA". It matches the Rfam family "Bacterial small subunit ribosomal RNA", at positions 8 to 1026 of the family's 1533-position model. Lineage: Bacteria; Bacillati; Bacillota; Bacilli; Lactobacillales; Enterococcaceae. The record is from RNAcentral.
AGAGUUUGAUCCUGGCUCAGGACGAACGCUGGCGGCGUGCCUAAUACAUGCAAGUCGAACGCUUCUUUUUCCACCGGAGCUUGCUCCACCGGAAAAAGAGGAGUGGCGAACGGGUGAGUAACACGUGGGUAACCUGCCCAUCAGAAGGGGAUAACACUUGGAAACAGGUGCUAAUACCGUAUAACAAUCNNNNNNNNNNNNNNNNNNNNNNNNNNNNNNNNNNNNNNNNNNNNNNNNNNNGGUUUUGAUUUGAAAGGCGCUUUCGGGUGUCGCUGAUGGAUGGACCCGCGGUGCAUUAGCUAGUUGGUGAGGUAACGGCUCACCAAGGCCACGAUGCAUAGCCGACCUGAGAGGGUGAUCGGCCACAUUGGGACUGAGACACGGCCCAAACUCCUACGGGAGGCAGCAGUAGGGAAUCUUCGGCAAUGGACGAAAGUCUGACCGAGCAACGCCGCGUGAGUGAAGAAGGUUUUCGGAUCGUAAAACUCUGUUGUUAGAGAAGAACAAGGAUGAGAGUAACUGUUCAUCCCUUGACGGUAUCUAACCAGAAAGCCACGGCUAACUACGUGCCAGCAGCCGCGGUAAUACGUAGGUGGCAAGCGUUGUCCGGAUUUAUUGGGCGUAAAGCGAGCGCAGGCGGUUUCUUAAGUCUGAUGUGAAAGCCCCCGGCUCAACCGGGGAGGGUCAUUGGAAACUGGGAGACUUGAGUGCAGAAGAGGAGAGUGGAAUUCCAUGUGUAGCGGUGAAAUGCGUAGAUAUAUGGAGGAACACCAGUGGCGAAGGCGGCUCUCUGGUCUGUAACUGACGCUGAGGCUCGAAAGCGUGGGGAGCAAACAGGAUUAGAUACCCUGGUAGUCCACGCCGUAAACGAUGAGUGCUAAGUGUUGGAGGGUUUCCGCCCUUCAGUGCUGCAGCUAACGCAUUAAGCACUCCGCCUGGGGAGUACGACCGCAAGGUUGAAACUCAAAGGAAUUGACGGGGGCCCGCACAAGCGGUGGAGCAUGUGGUUUAAUUCGAAGCAACGCGAAGAACCUUACCAGGUCUUGACAUCCUUUGACCACUCUAGAGAUAGAGCUUCCCCUUCGGGGG